RNAcentral lists this ribosomal RNA (450 nucleotides) under uncultured bacterium. RNAcentral describes it as "partial 16S ribosomal RNA". It matches the Rfam family "Bacterial small subunit ribosomal RNA", at positions 354 to 796 of the family's 1533-position model. The record is from RNAcentral.
GUGGGGAAUAUUGGACAAUGGGCGAAAGCCUGAUCCAGCCAUGCCGCGUGUGUGAAGAAGGUCUUCGGAUUGUAAAGCACUUUAAGUUGGGAGGAAGGGCAGUAAGUUAAUACCUUGCUGUUUUGACGUUACCAACAGAAUAAGCACCGGCUAACUUCGUGCCAGCAGCCGCGGUAAUACGAAGGGUGCAAGCGUUAAUCGGAAUUACUGGGCGUAAAGCGCGCGUAUGUGGUUCAGCAAGUUGAAGGUGAAAGCCCCGGGCUCAACCUGGGAACUGCCUCCAAAACUACUGAGCUAGAGUACGGUAGAGGGUAGUGGAAUUUCCUGUGUAGCGGUGAAAUGCGUAGAUAUAGGAAGGAACACCAGUGGCGAAGGCGACUACCUGGACUGAUACUGACACUGAGGUGCGAAAGCGUGGGGAGCAAACAGGAUUAGAUACCCGUGUAGUCC